This is a long non-coding RNA of Stegastes partitus (bicolor damselfish), 329 nucleotides long. RefSeq lists it as uncharacterized. Lineage: Eukaryota; Metazoa; Chordata; Actinopteri; Pomacentridae. The record is from RefSeq and is a predicted model, not a curated record. The transcript has 2 exons.
UCUGACUGUCAGUACUUCUUUAUUUGUUGUGUUGCAACUGCCACUGUCACUUCUUAGGGAGGUUAGUGUGCUUUGUCAGUACAAGGACAACUACAUCAAAGCAGAAGUGGUGACGAGACACGGCCGUUGCCAUGGAGACAACCUCAAAGAGUUCUGAUCCAGAAACAAAGUUCACAGGAGAAGGAGAGGGGUGAGGAGGGGCCAAGCAUCUGUCUGCAUAACAUCCAGGAGAAGUGGAGAGAUAUCAGCCUUCCAAGGCCGAAGUGGGGGAGCCGAAUGAAAAUAAAGAAAACUGUUUUGGGUCAAGCUGACUCUGCAAUUUACCGUCA